This 68-nucleotide transfer RNA is filed under the name Beryx decadactylus (alfonsino). RNAcentral's name for it is "tRNA-Ser". The record is from RNAcentral. Lineage: Eukaryota; Metazoa; Chordata; Actinopteri; Beryciformes; Berycidae.
GAGAGAGGCAUCGCAGCAGCAAGGACUGCUAAUCCUCGCCACCUUGGUUAAAGUCCAUGGCUCACUCG